Molecule: transfer RNA, 72 nt
Filed under: Caenorhabditis remanei
Lineage: Eukaryota; Metazoa; Nematoda; Chromadorea; Rhabditida; Rhabditidae
Description: tRNA-His (GTG) (tRNA-His-GTG-2-1)
Rfam family: tRNA
About the family: Transfer RNA (tRNA) molecules are approximately 80 nucleotides in length. Their secondary structure includes four short double-helical elements and three loops (D, anti-codon, and T loops).
Source: Rfam by way of RNAcentral
GCCUGCUUAGUAUAGUGGUUAGUACUCCACGUUGUGGCCGUGGCGACGCUGGUUCGAUUCCACCAGCAGGCA